Molecule: ribosomal RNA, 255 nt
Filed under: uncultured bacterium
Lineage: Bacteria
Description: partial 16S ribosomal RNA
Rfam family: Bacterial small subunit ribosomal RNA
Source: RNAcentral
GAUCAUGGCUCAGGAUGAACGCUAGCUACAGGCUUAACACAUGCAAGUCGAGGGGCAUCAGUUUGGUUUGCUUGCAAACCAAAGCUGGCGACCGGCGCACGGGUGAGUAACACGUAUCCAACCUACCUCAUACUCGGGGAUAGCCUUUCGAAAGAAAGAUUAAUAUCCGAUAGCAUAUAUUUCCCGCAUGGGUUUUAUAUUAAAGAAAUUCGGUAUGAGAUGGGGAGUGCGUUCCCAUUAGUUUGUUUGGGGGGG